Molecule: transfer-messenger RNA, 369 nt
Filed under: Burkholderiales
Lineage: Bacteria; Pseudomonadati; Pseudomonadota; Betaproteobacteria
Also listed under: 1 other name
Description: Aphodousia faecipullorum Standard tmRNA
Rfam family: transfer-messenger RNA
About the family: Bacterial tmRNA, also known as 10Sa RNA or SsrA, is named for its dual tRNA and mRNA-like properties. Its role is to liberate the mRNA from a stalled ribosome. To accomplish this part of the tmRNA is used as a reading frame that ends in a translation stop signal.
Source: RNAcentral
GGGGACGACCUGGUUUCGACAGGGAUCACGAAGUAGCUUGGUGCAUGUCAAGGUCCAGUCACCUUGUAAAUCCGCUGGAAAACAAAUAAACGCCAAUAACAAGCGUUUCGCUCUCGCCGCCUAAUUUAGGCGAGGACCGCACCGGUUUGCCUCUAGGCCGGGUUAGUUCGCUAACAGCGGUUUCAUAUUAAUACAGGCUGGAUCGUCGGGAGGGCACUGCCCGAUGAUCAAGAUCUAAAGUGUCUGGUCUUGCCAGAACCAGUCAAAGGGUGGGAAGCAAGAUGAGAUUGUUUAAAUACUUUGAAUAAGCAUGUAGAUCCAGUUAUGGACGAUUUCUGGACGCGGGUUCAAUUCCCGCCGUCUCCACCA